GUAGGUGGCAAGCGUUGUCCGGAAUUGUUGGGCGUAAAGCGCGCGCAGGGCGGUCCUUUAAGUCUGAUGUGAAAGCCCACGGCUCAACCGUGGAGGGUCAUUGGAAACUGGGGGACUUGAGUACAGAAGAGGAAAGCGGAAUUCCAAGUGUAGCGGUGAAAUGCGUAGAGAUUUGGAGGAACACCAGUGGCGAAGGCGGCUUUCUGGUCUGUAACUGACGCUGAGGCGCGAAAGCGUGGGGAGCAAACAGGAUUAGAUACCCUGGUAGUCCACGCCGUAAACGAUGAGUGCUAAGUGUUAGGGGGGUUUCCGCCCCUUAGUGCUGCAGCUAACGCAUUAAGCACUCCGCCUGGGGAGUACGGCCGCAAGGCUG
Molecule: ribosomal RNA, 373 nt
Filed under: uncultured organism
Description: partial 16S ribosomal RNA
Rfam family: Bacterial small subunit ribosomal RNA
Source: RNAcentral